GAUGAACGCUGGCGGCGUGCCUAAUACAUGCAAGUCGAGCGAACGGACGAGAAGCUUGCUUCUCUGAUGUUAGCGGCGGACGGGUGAGUAACACGUGGAUAACCUACCUAUAAGACUGGGAUAACUUCGGGAAACCGGAGCUAAUACCGGAUAAUAUUUUGAACCGCAUGGUUCAACAGUGAAAGACGGUCUUUCUUUCACUUAUAGAUGGAUCCGCGCUGCAUUAGCUAGUUGGUAAGGUAACGGCUUACCAAGGCAACGAUGCAUAGCCGACCUGAGAGGGUGAUCGGCCACACUGGAACUGAGACACGGUCCAGACUCCUACGGGAGGCAGCAGUAGGGAAGCUUCCGCAAUGGGCGAAAGCCUGACGGAGCAACGCCGCGUGAGUGAUGAAGGUCUUCGGAUCGUAAAACUCUGUUAUUAGGGAAGAACAUAUGUGUAAGUAACUGUGCACAUCUUGACGGUACCUAAUCAGAAAGCCACGGCUAACUACGUG
RNAcentral lists this ribosomal RNA (497 nucleotides) under uncultured bacterium. RNAcentral describes it as "partial 16S ribosomal RNA". It matches the Rfam family "Bacterial small subunit ribosomal RNA", at positions 28 to 507 of the family's 1533-position model. The record is from RNAcentral.